This 512-nucleotide ribosomal RNA is filed under the name uncultured bacterium. Its description in RNAcentral is "partial 16S ribosomal RNA". It matches the Rfam family "Bacterial small subunit ribosomal RNA", at positions 28 to 507 of the family's 1533-position model. The record is from RNAcentral.
GAUGAACGCUGGCGGCGUGCCUAAUACAUGCAAGUCGAACGAAACUUCUUUAUCACCGAGUGCUUGCACUCACCGAUAAAGAGUUGAGUGGCGAACGGGUGAGUAACACGUGGGCAACCUGCCCAAAAGAGGGGGAUAACACUUGGAAACAGGUGCUAAUACCGCAUAACCAUAGUUACCGCAUGGUAACUAUGUAAAAGGUGGCUAUACUACCGCUUUUGGAUGGGCCCGCGGCGCAUUAGCUAGUUGGUAGGGUAAAGGCUUACCAAGGCAAUGAUGCGCAGCCGAAUUGAGAGGUUGAUCGGCCACAUUGGGACUGAGACACGGCCCAAACUCCUACGGGAGGCAGCAGUAGGGAAUCUUCCACAAUGGGCGAAAGCCUGAUGGAGCAACGCCGCGUGGGUGAAGAAGAUCUUCGGAUCGUAAAACCCUGUUGUUAGAGAAGAAAGUGCGUGAGAGUAACUGUUCACGUUUCGACGGUAUCUAACCAGAAAGCCACGGCUAACUACGUG